Molecule: ribosomal RNA, 253 nt
Filed under: uncultured bacterium
Lineage: Bacteria
Description: partial 16S ribosomal RNA
Rfam family: Bacterial small subunit ribosomal RNA
Source: RNAcentral
UACGUAGGGUGCAAGCGUUAAUCGGAAUUACUGGGCGUAAAGCGUGCGCAGGCGGUUUUGUAAGUCUGUCGUGAAAGCCCCGGGCUCAACCUGGGAAUUGCGAUGGAGACUGCAAGGCUUGAAUCUGGCAGAGGGGGGUAGAAUUCCACGUGUAGCUGUGAAAUGCGUAGAGAUGUGGAGGAACACCGAUGGCGAAGGCAGCCCCCUGGGUCAAGAUUGACGCUCAUGCACGAAAGCGUGGGGAGCAAACAGG